GACGAACGCUGGCGGCGUGCCUAAUACAUGCAAGUAGGACGCAGUUGCGAACGGGUGAGUAACGCGUAGGUAACUGCCUAUUAGAGGGGGAUAACUAUUGGAAACGAUAGCUAAUACCGCAUACUAGUAGAUGGACCUGCGUUGUAUUAGCUAGUAGGUAGGGUAAUGGCCUACCUAGGCAACGAUACAUAGCCGACCUGGGAGGGUGAUCGGCCAAAACGGGACUGGGACACGGCCCAGGCGUCUACGGGAGGCAGCAGUAGGGAAUCUUCGGCAAUGGGGGGAACCCUGAACGAGCAACGGCGCGUGAGUGAAGAAGGUUUUCGGAGCGUAAAGCUCUGUUGUUAAGGAAGCGGUACUUAACCAGAAAGGGACGGCUAACUACGGGCCAGCAGCCGCGGUAAUUC
RNAcentral lists this ribosomal RNA (407 nucleotides) under uncultured bacterium. Its description in RNAcentral is "partial 16S ribosomal RNA". It matches the Rfam family "Bacterial small subunit ribosomal RNA", at positions 28 to 526 of the family's 1533-position model. The record is from RNAcentral.